GAUGAACGCUGGCGGCGUGCUUAACACAUGCAAGUCGAACGGGAAACCUUUUAUUGAAGCUUCGGCAGAUUUAGCUGGUUUCUAGUGGCGGACGGGUGAGUAACGCGUGGGUAACCUGCCUUAUACAGGGGGAUAACAGUCAGAAAUGGCUGCUAAUACCGCAUAAGCGCACAGAGCUGCAUGGCUCAGUGUGAAAAACUCCGGUGGUAUAAGAUGGACCCGCGUUGGAUUAGCUGGUUGGUGGGGUAACGGCCCACCAAGGCGACGAUCCAUAGCCGGCCUGAGAGGGUGAACCGCCACAUUGGGACUGAGACACGGCCCAGACUCCUACGGGAGGCAGCAGUGGGGAAUAUUGCACAAUGGGGGGAGCGCUGAUGCAGCGACGCCGCGUGAAGGAAGAAGUAUCUCGGUAUGUAAACUUCUAUCAGCAGGGAAGAUAAUGACGGUACCUGACUAAGAAGCCCCGGCUAACUACGUG
RNAcentral lists this ribosomal RNA (478 nucleotides) under uncultured bacterium. RNAcentral's name for it is "partial 16S ribosomal RNA". It matches the Rfam family "Bacterial small subunit ribosomal RNA", at positions 28 to 507 of the family's 1533-position model. The record is from RNAcentral.